UUUCCUUCACUUCCAUGAGGUCCCUGGAGGCACAGGACAGACCCGCAAACAGGAAGAGCAGUGGGGCAGGCCACAGGCUGGCACCCAGCACCCAGCCCAGCAGGCGAGUUCUAUUUAAACGAAGAAAGAAAGCACAUUCCAGAUCCUUUUGUUCAUCCAGAGACUUCAGGUAAAAAUUGAGGCAAUUAAAUUAUGCAUCCUGGCGGCUUUCUCUCACCGUCAGCACGAGUCGAGAUUUUUUUUUUUUUGAGAAGUAAAACAUGAAAUUCAAAAUGUAUCUCGAGUCACAGCACGAUGGUUUACCAGAUGAGUCAAGAGGAAGACCUCCCUCCGUUCUGUCAUCAGGGCUGCCUGAGGAGGGCACCAGCCGGUUCUCCAGCAGUCAGGUCUGACAGGCUGGCAGCCUUCAUGCCAUCCCCUCGGCCAGAGGCUCAGACGCGUGCAAGAAUCACGUGGACAAGGAGGGCCGGUACUGGUGGGCCUUGAACGCCAGGCUAAGCCAUUUGAAUUCAAUUUUGUGUCCAAUUAGUUGGCUUGCUGUCUCUCAGGAAACUGCAAGGACUUUCACAAAAUGCAG
This 577-nucleotide long non-coding RNA is filed under the name Homo sapiens (human). RNAcentral describes it as "HSALNT0279118". Lineage: Eukaryota; Metazoa; Chordata; Mammalia; Primates; Hominidae. The record is from RNAcentral.